This 468-nucleotide ribosomal RNA is filed under the name uncultured bacterium. Its description in RNAcentral is "partial 16S ribosomal RNA". It matches the Rfam family "Bacterial small subunit ribosomal RNA", at positions 28 to 507 of the family's 1533-position model. The record is from RNAcentral.
GACGAACGCUGGCGGCGUGCUUAACACAUGCAAGUCGAACGGAAAGGCCCUGCUUUUGUGGGGUGCUCGAGUGGCGAACGGGUGAGUAACACGUGAGUAACCUGCCCUUGACUUUGGGAUAACUUCAGGAAACUGGGGCUAAUACCGGAUAGGAGCUCCUGCUGCAUGGUGGGGGUUGGAAAGUUUCGGCGGUUGGGGAUGGACUCGCGGCUUAUCAGCUUGUUGGUGGGGUAGUGGCUUACCAAGGCUCUGACGGGUAGCCGGCCUGAGAGGGUGACCGGCCACAUUGGGACUGAGAUACGGCCCAGACUCCUACGGGAGGCAGCAGUGGGGAAUAUUGCACAAUGGGCGGAAGCCUGAUGCAGCAACGCCGCGUGCGGGAUGACGGACUUCGGGUUGUAAACCGCUUUCGCCUGUGACGAAGCGUGAGUGACGGUAAUGGGUAAAGAAGCACCGGCUAACUACGUG